AUUCCUCUAGAUAUGUAGUAUUAUGAUUAUCAUGGCCUAGAGAGGUGACCUCCAUUGCACUUCGGAGGGGCGCUUGUCUAACAUCUCCCCAAGAGGGAGAUUGUAUAUCAUAAUUUGUGAUAGCGGGGGCAUGCGUUCUCGCAGCCUCUGU
Molecule: non-coding RNA, 151 nt
Organism: Beta vulgaris subsp. vulgaris (sugar beet)
Lineage: Eukaryota; Viridiplantae; Streptophyta; Magnoliopsida; Caryophyllales; Amaranthaceae
Source: Rfam